RNAcentral lists this small RNA (135 nucleotides) under Photorhabdus luminescens. Its description in RNAcentral is "RtT sRNA". It matches the Rfam family "RtT RNA". Rfam says of the family: This family represents a bacterial cis-regulatory element known as RtT RNA. The exact function of RtT is unknown although it is thought that it may be involved in changing the cellular response in relation to amino acid starvation. Lineage: Bacteria; Pseudomonadati; Pseudomonadota; Gammaproteobacteria; Enterobacterales; Morganellaceae. RNAcentral also lists the same sequence under 1 other name. The record is from RNAcentral.
UAUCAAUAAAAAAUAACCUCGAUAACCCUAUUUAAAUUAGGUUCGAGUUGAGCGCAGCGAAACAACAAUGCGGCGCUUGCGACGCGUUGGCCCGCAGGGCGAGGAACGCAGUGACGAGUCAUCCUUCCCCCGCCA